Molecule: non-coding RNA, 316 nt
Filed under: Perkinsus marinus ATCC 50983
Lineage: Eukaryota; Perkinsozoa; Perkinsida; Perkinsidae
Description: Eukaryotic large subunit ribosomal RNA
Rfam family: Eukaryotic large subunit ribosomal RNA
Source: Rfam by way of RNAcentral
UACGGCGAGCUACCAUCUGCUGGAUUACGGCUGAACGCCUCUAAGCCGGAAUCCAUGCUGGAUAAGCAGUGUUGUACACCGUGCUCAAUGCUACAAGAAAAAGGCUAGGUCAGGCUUCGGCCUGACCAAAAUUCAAGCUGCUAUACCUCUGGCUGCAUUGACUUGUGGUCAGAGUGUAUGGUGAUCAUAGCAAUUGCAAGUAUUGGGCUCGAUAAAUCCUUUGAAGACGACUUAAUUGCAUCCGGGUAUUGUAAGUGUUGAGAGUAGGCUUAGUCUUACGAUCCACUGAGAUUCAUCCCGUGUUGCGCCGAUUUGU